Molecule: ribosomal RNA, 253 nt
Filed under: uncultured bacterium
Lineage: Bacteria
Description: partial 16S ribosomal RNA
Rfam family: Bacterial small subunit ribosomal RNA
Source: RNAcentral
UACGUAGGGCGCAAGCGUUGUCCGGAAUUAUUGGGCGUAAAGAGCUCGUAGGCGGUUUGUCGCGUCUGCUGUGAAAACCUAAGGCUCAACCUUGGGCUUGCAGUGGGUACGGGCAGACUAGAGUGCGGUAGGGGUGACUGGAAUUCCUGGUGUAGCGGUGGAAUGCGCAGAUAUCAGGAGGAACACCGAUGGCGAAGGCAGCUCGCUGGGACGGUACUGACGCUGAGGCGCGAAAGCGUGGGGAGCGAACAGG